Molecule: ribosomal RNA, 169 nt
Filed under: Epinephelus retouti (red-tipped grouper)
Lineage: Eukaryota; Metazoa; Chordata; Actinopteri; Perciformes; Serranidae
Description: partial 12S ribosomal RNA
Source: RNAcentral
UACCGCGGUUAUACGAGAGGCCCAAGUUGACAGGCUCCGGCGUAAAGCGUGGUUAAGGAAUAAAAUAUACUAAAGCCGAACGCUUACUAGGCUGUUAUACGCUUACGAAAGUAAGAAGCACACCCACGAAGGUAGCUUUACCAUACCUGAACCCACGAAAGCCAAGAUA